This 506-nucleotide ribosomal RNA is filed under the name uncultured bacterium. Its description in RNAcentral is "partial 16S ribosomal RNA". It matches the Rfam family "Bacterial small subunit ribosomal RNA", at positions 28 to 506 of the family's 1533-position model. The record is from RNAcentral.
GACGAACGCUGGCGGCGUGCCUAAUACAUGCAAGUCGAACGCAUUUUCUUUCACCGUAGCUUGCUACACCGAAAGAAAAUGAGUGGCGAACGGGUGAGUAACACGUGGGUAACCUGCCCAUCAGCGGGGGAUAACACUUGGAAACAGGUGCUAAUACCGCAUAAUUCCAUUUACUGCAUGGUAGAUGGAUGAAAGGCGCUUUUGCGUCACUGAUGGAUGGACCCGCGGUGCAUUAGCUAGUUGGUGGGGUAACGGCCUACCAAGGCUGCGAUGCGUAGCCGACCUGAGAGGGUGAUCGGCCGCCCUGGGACUGAGACACGGCCCAGACUCCUACGGGAGGCAGCAGUAGGGAAUCUUCGGCGAUGGACGCAAGUCUGGCCGAGCAACGCCGCGUGAGUGAAGAAGGUUUUCGGAUCGUAAAACUCUGUUGUUAGAAAAGAACAAGGAUGAGAGUGGAAAGUUCAUCCCUGGAGGGUAUCGAACCAGAAAGCCACGGCUAACUACGU